RNAcentral lists this non-coding RNA (30 nucleotides) under Homo sapiens (human). The record is from RNAcentral. Lineage: Eukaryota; Metazoa; Chordata; Mammalia; Primates; Hominidae.
UCCACUCUUAACCUCAUUCCUUGUGUGUCC